CGGCGGAGUCUUCUGCGGCGUUGAGGCGGCAGCGGCGUCAUGUCCGGGCAGCGCGUCCGUCUGGCGGCGGCGGCGGAGAGGGCAGGCUGCGGAGGGUCUGGAGGUGCGACAUGAGAUUUUUUUUGGCGAGGGAUGCGAGGGAGACUGCGGGAGGGUGAGGAGUGCAUGCGAGGCGACGUUAUCCGGCGGCAGGACGAUGGUGAAGCCUGUGCACGUUAACUGUUCCUAUUUUUUAGUUGUGGAGAUUUCAAAUGAACCACUUCAGCCUUUGAAGUUCGGAUAUGUUUAACGUGAAACACUUGCAACUAUGCUAUCCGUACAUGUUAAAGUAGUUCAACUUUUACUCCCUCCGAUCUAUUUUAUUUAGGUAAGUUAGAAUAAUAUGGUCUUCUAAAUUAUACUAGGUUAAUGCCCGUACGUUGUUACGGGUUUUAAAAUCCACAUACUUUAUGUUUCUUCAUUGUUAUUUUAUUUUUUCUGUCUAUAUUCUUCUUUUUUUCAUUUUUUUAGUUUUAGUUUUUCGAUUUUAUUUUAUUUUCUGUUCUUUCGUUAUUCUUUUAUUGUUUUAAUUUUACCUUUUAUUUUCUUUUUGUUUUGGUUUUAUUUUUAUUGUUCUUCCUUGCUUCUAUUUGUUUUUCUUUUUUCUUUUCAGAUUUUCUAUGUUUCUUCAUUCUUAUUUUAUAUUUUAUUUCCUUUUAAUCUUAUUUUUAUAUUUAUUUAAAUUAUUCAUUAAUUUUAUUUGCUCUAUGCACUUUUUAUCAAUUGUUAAUUAUGUUUGUUUUUAUAUUUUUUUCUUAGUAAUUUUAUUUUUUAUUUUUAUUUUCUAUCUAUAUGUGAUAUUUAUGUAGUAUAUAUUUAGUGUUCUAUAUUGUGUUAUGUCAUGUUUACGUAAUAUAUAUGUGAUGUUCUAUGAUGUUUCUUACGGGAGUUGUGGCUUCACCAUGAGUGUGGUAGAUGGGCCCUCUUAAUAAUUUUUAGUUGUAGAGAUUUAUUGAUGUUAAUGUUCUAUAAAUAUAUUUACGAUAUUUAAAAAGUAACCCUUUGACAUUAUUUGAAAAUUUUCUCCAUUUUUUGUUUUUAUUUUUUUCUUAUGCUUUUUACUCUAGAUUUUUUUAUUAUUUUUAUCUAUGUCAUCUAUUUAUGGAUUUUUAUGUAUAUUGUAAUAUCAUUUUCAUAAACCUAAAAACAAAAUACUAUUCUUCUAAAUCGAUAACAUUUUUUUACAAAGACAAAACAUUGUCGGUUGAACCUAGAAUAUUGUUUCUACUUAAUAAAAGAAAAUAUUUUAUCUUUAUAAGAUAAAUAUUCAUUAAUAAAAUUUUAUCUAAAUAUAUCCAUGUAUGAUCUUGUUUUGAAGGAUUUGUUAUAAGAAAUUUAAUGGUGCAAUCAAAAUUUAAUUUAUAUCUCUAGUUUAGGAGUUAUGACUUUUUUUAAUUCGUUAAAACAAUUUUGCAUAAAUAGGUGAGUGGGGCCUAGGUUGAUGGGAUAGUGUGUCAUCACGCAGUAAAAAAGACCACCAAUGGGAUGAAAGUUGUGGAUGGGUCCUCUCCAUAAUUUUUAGUUGUAGAGAUAAAUAUUAAUUAAUAAAAUUUUAUCUAAAUAUAUCCAUGUGUGAUCUUGUUUUGAAGGAUUUGUUAUGAGAAAUGUAAUGGUGCAAUCGGAAUUUAAUUUAUAUCUUCGUUUUAAAAGUUAUGACUUUUUUAAAUUCGCCAAAACAUUUUUGCAUGCAUGGGUGAGUGGGGCCUAGGUUGAUGGGAUAGCCUAUCAUGGCUAAAAGGAAUGGGAGUUGUGGCUUCACCAUGUAUGUGGUAGAUGGGUCCUUUUCAUAAUUUUUAGUUGUAGAGACUAUUCAUUUGCUUUAUAUUAUAUUAUUUAUUCUUAUAAAUUUAUUAUCAUUAGAUAGUAUAUUUCCUUACAAUUUAAUCUAUUAAUUAUUGGUCAAAAUAAGUUUGAAGCUUGAUAUACGUGUGCACUAGAUAAAAUGGUCUGGUAGGAAUAACAAAUUUUAUAAUGAAUGUAAUUUAUAUUUAUGUUUUUGUAAAUCGAUUUUUUUAUAAAAGUAUACAUUUCAUAAUUAAUCUCAUAUUAUUUUGUUUUAUGGACGUAACUAACAUAGACACAUGCACAACCGUCAUCAACCUCACAUGCCCCCUUCCCCCUCUUCCUCGCGCCGACCCCAUCUUCCUCCUUGCCGGCGACCCUCGUCCCCACCGCUGCC
This 2218-nucleotide long non-coding RNA is filed under the name Sorghum bicolor (sorghum). Its description in RNAcentral is "long non-coding RNA (SBIC_LNC017284)". The record is from RNAcentral. Lineage: Eukaryota; Viridiplantae; Streptophyta; Magnoliopsida; Poales; Poaceae.